UGAAAUUGAAGCACUUCCAGGCCAAAUUGGCCUUGGCCACAGGCACUGAUCAUCACGACGCCUUGAUGUACGGUGCUAGGGAGUUGUUGGGCGAACUCCAGGUUUAAGUUAGCAGAGCUUUGGUGGCCACGAGG
Molecule: long non-coding RNA, 134 nt
Organism: Malus domestica (apple)
Lineage: Eukaryota; Viridiplantae; Streptophyta; Magnoliopsida; Rosales; Rosaceae
Source: RefSeq, a predicted model, not a curated record